GAAAUGUCAAUACUGUGGUGCUAU
Molecule: non-coding RNA, 24 nt
Filed under: Arabidopsis thaliana (thale cress)
Lineage: Eukaryota; Viridiplantae; Streptophyta; Magnoliopsida; Brassicales; Brassicaceae
Source: RNAcentral